UCUCUGCUGGUAUUUUGGCCGAUAAUACGAGAUCAUAUAAAGCUUCGGGUCUUUGCGAUUCUUGGAAGUCUGUUCAUAAAGAUAUUGAAUGCAAUAAUCUUGUUGUCGCCGUGGUAUUUGCCUUUACUGCAUUUAUCCUGUAGAUUGGUGGAUUCAUCAUUUCACUUUUGGCUGAGUGUCGUUGCGACUGAUUCGGGCAAUGAACUUGAAACGUCCGAGAUGGAGCUAUGAAGAAUGGAAAGGAGUGAUUAUCUUCUUGGUGUAAGAUUGAAAUGGAUUAAAAUAAUUGAGUUAUGGAAGCACCAUCUUAUCUACCAUUUGUAAAACAUCAUAGCUUGUCAAGUGUAUAGAAAAACAGAAUGUAUGUUAAACGUAUCAAAAUGCGCAUAUGAAAGCCAGAAAAAUGGUUUGUGAAAAAGUUAAGAAUCUUUACGACUUGAAUGCUAGUAUUUAAUAUGAAGAAUUGUGGGCGUUUAGUGCCUCGAGUUGCUAUUUUUAUGACUUUUAAUGUGGAUCCUAUCUUUAAGCUGUGCAAGCUUGCUUACAUGAUAGCCAUUUUUUCGAUUCCGAAUGCAUCAUUGCAUUUGCGCCUUUUCCCUGCAUUUAACAAAAAUAAACGUUCAAUAACACGGUGCAA
Molecule: long non-coding RNA, 637 nt
Organism: Xenia sp. Carnegie-2017
Lineage: Eukaryota; Metazoa; Cnidaria; Anthozoa; Malacalcyonacea; Xeniidae
Exons: 2
Source: RefSeq, a predicted model, not a curated record